Pan troglodytes (chimpanzee) is the source of this 835-nucleotide long non-coding RNA. RefSeq lists it as uncharacterized. NCBI's taxonomy places the organism in Eukaryota, Metazoa, Chordata, Mammalia, Primates, Hominidae. The record is from RefSeq and is a predicted model, not a curated record. The transcript is spliced from 2 exons.
ACACAGGAGCCCAUGGAGGGGGUGGGAGGCUCAGGCAUGGCGGGCUGCAGGUCCCGAGCCCUGCCCCGCGGGAAGGCAGUUAAGGCCGUUAAGGCCCGGUGAGAAAUCGAGCGCAGCGCCGGUGGGCUGGCACUGCUGGGGGACCCAGUACACCCUCCGCAGCCGCUGGCCCGGGUGCUAAGCCCCUCAUUGCCCGGGGCCGGCAGGGCCGGCCGGCUGCUCCGAGUGCGGGGCCGGCCAAGCCCACGCCCACCCGGAACUCCAGCUGGCCCGCAAGCGCCGCGCGCAGCCGGGGUUCCCGCUCGCGCCUCUCCCUCCACACCUCCCUGCAAGCUGAGGGAGCCGGCUCUGGCCUUGGCCAGCCCAGAAAGGGGCUCCCACAGUGCAGCGGUGGGCUGAAGGGCUCCUCAAGUGCCGCCAAAGUGGGAGCCCAGGCAGAGGAGGCGCAGAGAGCGAGGGAGGGCUGUGAGGACUGCCAGCAUGCUGUUACCUCUCAAUAAGGAAUUCAAGGUCUCCUUGGGAGUCUCAUGUCCUUGCCAAGCCUUCGCCAGGCUCUCGCCACUGCCGUUCCUCUACCAGCCCAAGUCUACAUUCUGAGGCUCUAGGAACACGAGAGAGAACUCCAGUGCUCACAUCCCAUAUUGACCCUCUUUAUGUUCUUCAAUUACCACCUACCUGAAAAAGCCUCAAAGUCUCAGGGGAACAUUCUGGAGUCCCUGCUGCUGAAGAGGGUUUUUUGAGUUUUGGUCGUCUUCCAAAGUUUAUUGUAUGAAGUCUUAGUGCUUCACUGGAGUUUGUCAUAUGUCUGGAUAAUAAAUAAGUUUCAAAAAUGUAA